CUGGGACAAAAUCAACUACAGCUCAUGCGGAACCAAUUGAAAUAAUGAGAUGCAAGACAGAAAAUGAGCAUCUUCAAUAAUCCUCUAUCUUUGUCAUCCGGUUAUUACAUUACUCUGUCUCAUUCGAUACGAAAAAUCAUGGUAUUAAGAGCUAAUGCAGUAGCAACGAAGAGGAGCUCCAGGACUAGGCGCCUUACAAACUCCGCCCUGCGGAAACUGGAUGCUCUUGCAAUGGGCAUCACAAUCAGGAAUGUUAGAACAUGGCCCCUGAUCAAUCAACCGAAUAGCACCUACUCGUUCUGUACCAAAAAAAAAAACAAUAAAAUUACUCAUUUUGGAAGUCUGCAACAGUGUGCAUAUGUUGCAUGUUAUGUUAUGUUUAACACAAAAGCAAACCUGUAUUGAUAGUCAAAGCAAUGAAAAAGAAGGCAAUGAAUAAGCUUCUAAUAACAGAAGAGAUGUUCUUGCCAGCCAUUUUAUAUAUCUUGUUUUUGCCUAGGAUGAUCUUUCUACCCUGAUGCUUGUAGUUUCU
This 532-nucleotide long non-coding RNA is filed under the name Daucus carota (carrot). RNAcentral's name for it is "long non-coding RNA (DCAR_LNC002784)". The record is from RNAcentral. Lineage: Eukaryota; Viridiplantae; Streptophyta; Magnoliopsida; Apiales; Apiaceae.